UGCCCAGUGGCACAGUGGUAGUGCGUCUGCUGUAUUUAAAGUCUUCAGAGUAUGAUAUGCGUGGAAAGUCCGGAUUCCCUCGUUCGAUUCGGGGUCGGGCGA
This is a non-coding RNA of Mycena leptocephala, 102 nucleotides long. Lineage: Eukaryota; Fungi; Basidiomycota; Agaricomycetes; Agaricales; Mycenaceae. The record is from the annotation of a GenBank genome assembly.